CCUACGGGAGGCUGCAGUGAGGAAUAUUGGUCAAUGGGCGGAAGCCUGAACCAGCCAAGUCGCGUGAGGGAUUAAGGCCCUGCGGGUCGUAAACCUCUUUUGCCGGGGAGCAGUGGUCCGGACGAGUCCGGGCCGGGAGAGUACCCGGAGAAAAAGCAUCGGCUAACUCCGUGCCAGCAGCCGCGGUAAUAAGGAGGAAGCGAGCGUUAUCCGGAUUUAUUGGGUUUAAAGGGUGCGUAGGCGGGCAUUUAAGCCGGCGGUCAAAUGUCGGGGCUCAACCCCGGCCUGCCGUCGGAACUGGGUGCCUUGAGUGGGCGAGAAGUAUGCGGAAUGCGUGGUGUAGCGGUGAAAUGCAUAGAUAUCACGCAGAACCCCGAUUGCGAAGGCAGCAUACCGGCGCCCGACUGACGCUGAGGCACGAAAGUGCGGGUAUCGAACAGGAUUAGAUACCCCGGUAGUC
RNAcentral lists this ribosomal RNA (460 nucleotides) under uncultured bacterium. Its description in RNAcentral is "partial 16S ribosomal RNA". It matches the Rfam family "Bacterial small subunit ribosomal RNA", at positions 338 to 795 of the family's 1533-position model. The record is from RNAcentral.